UCGUACGAGAGUUUUUAACUCAAGUGGCGGACGGGUGAGUAACACGUGAGAAUUUGCCUUUAGGAGAAGGACAACAAUUAGAAAUGAUUGCUAAAACUUCAUAUGCUUUCGAGUGAAAUAGAUUUAUCUGCCUGAAGAGAAGCUCGCGGCUGAUUAGCUUGUUGGUAAGGUAAUGGCUUACCAAGGCGACGAUCAGUAUCUGGUUUGAGAGGACGAUCAGACACACUGGAACUGAGACACGGUCCAGACUCCUACGGGAGGCAGCAGUGGGGAAUUUUCCGCAAUGGGCGAAAGCCUGACGGAGCAAUACCGCGUGAGGGAAGAAGGCCUAUGGGUUGUAAACCUCUUUUUUCAGGGAGGAAUCAAUGACGUGUACCUGAAGAAUAAGCAUCGGCUAACUCCGUGCCAGCAGCCGCGGUAAGACGGAGGAUGCAAGUGUUAUCCGGAAUCACUGGGCGUAAAGCGUCUGUAGGUGGUUUAGUAAGUCGACUGUUAAAUCUUGAAGCUUAACUUCAAAACUGCAUUCGAAACUAUUAGACUUGAGUAUAGUAAGGGUAAAGGGAAUUUCCAGUGGAGCGGUGAAAUGCGUAGAUAUUGGAAAGAACACCAAUGGCGAAGGCACUUUACUGGGCUAUUACUGACACUCAGAGACGAAAGCUAGGGUAGCAAAUGGGAUUAGAUACCCCAGUAGUCCUAGCUGUAAACAAUGGAUACUAGAUGUUGAACAGAUCGACCUGUGCAGUAUUAAAGCUAACGCGUUAAGUAUCCCGC
RNAcentral lists this ribosomal RNA (771 nucleotides) under uncultured bacterium. RNAcentral's name for it is "bacterial SSU rRNA". It matches the Rfam family "Bacterial small subunit ribosomal RNA", at positions 62 to 872 of the family's 1533-position model. The record is from RNAcentral.